ACGUGUCGGAUUACUGGGCGUAAGAGCUCGUAGGUGGUUUGUCGCGUUGUUCGUGAAAACUCACAGCUUAACUGUGGGCGUGCGGGCGAUACGGGCAGACUAGAGUACUGCAGGGGAGACUGGAAUUCCUGGUGUAGCGGUGGAAUGCGCAGAUAUCAGGAGGAACACCGGUGGCGAAGGCGGGUCUCUGGGCAGUAACUGACGCUGAGGAGCGAAAGCGUGGGGAGCGAACAGGAUUAGAUACCCUGGUAGUCCACGCCGUAAACGGUGGGUACUAGGUGUGGGUUCCCUUCCUUGGGAUCCGUGCCGUAGCUAACGCAUUAAGUACCCCGCCUGGGGAGUACGGCCGCAAGGCUAAAACUCAAAGAAAUUGACGGGGGCCCGCACAAGCGGCGGAGCAUGUGGAUUAAUUCGAUGCAACGCGAAGAACCUUACCUGGGUUUGACAUGCACAGGACGCCAGUAGAGAUAUUGGUUCCCUUGUGGCCUGUGUGCAGGUGGUGCAUGGCUGUCGUCAGCUCGUGUCGUGAGAUGUUGGGUUAAGUCCCGCAACGAGCGCAACCCUUAUCUUAUGUUGCCAGCGCGUAAUGGCGGGGACUCGUGAGAGACUGCCGGGGUCAACUCGGAGGAAGGUGGGGAUGACGUCAAGUCAUCAUGCCCCUUAUGUCCAGGGCUUCACACAUGCUACAAUGGCCGGUACAAAGGGCUGCGAUGCCGUGAGGUGGAGCGAAUCCUUUCAAAGCCGGUCUCAGUUCGGAUCGGGGUCUGCAACUCGACCCCGUGAAGUCGGAGUCGCUAGUAAUCGCAGAUCAGCAACGCUGCGGUGAAUACGUUCCCGGGCCUUGUACACACCGCCCGUCACGUCAUGAAAGUCGGUAACACCCGAAGCCGGUGGCCUAACCCUUGUGGAGGGAGCCGUCGAAGUGGGAUCGGCGAUUGGGACGAAGUCGUAACAAGGUACUCGU
RNAcentral lists this ribosomal RNA (964 nucleotides) under uncultured bacterium. RNAcentral's name for it is "bacterial SSU rRNA". It matches the Rfam family "Bacterial small subunit ribosomal RNA", at positions 540 to 1503 of the family's 1533-position model. The record is from RNAcentral.